This 468-nucleotide ribosomal RNA is filed under the name uncultured bacterium. Its description in RNAcentral is "partial 16S ribosomal RNA". It matches the Rfam family "Bacterial small subunit ribosomal RNA", at positions 28 to 507 of the family's 1533-position model. The record is from RNAcentral.
GACGAACGCUGGCGGCGUGCUUAACACAUGCAAGUCGAACGGAAAGGCCCUGCUUUUGUGGGGUGCUCGAGUGGCGAACGGGUGAGUAACACGUGAGUAACCUGCCCUUGACUUUGGGAUAACUCCAGGAAACUGGGGCUAAUACCGGAUAGGAGCUCCUGCUGCAUGGUGGGGGUUGGAAAGUUUCGGCGGUUGGGGAUGGACUCGCGGCUUUUCAGCUUGUUGGUGAGGUAGUGGCUUACCAAGGGUUUGACGGGUAGCCGGCCUGAGAGGGUGAACGGCCACAUUGGGACUGAGAUACGGCCCAGACUCCUACGGGAGUCAGCAGUGGGGAAUAUUGCACAAUGGGCGGAAGCCUGAUGCAGCAACGCCGCGUGCGGGAUGACGGCCUUCGGGUUGUAAACCGCUUUCGCCUGUGACGAAGCGUGAGUGACGGUAAUGGGUAAAGAAGCACCGGCUAACUACGUG